Molecule: long non-coding RNA, 763 nt
Filed under: Bos indicus x Bos taurus (hybrid cattle)
Lineage: Eukaryota; Metazoa; Chordata; Mammalia; Artiodactyla; Bovidae
Description: lncRNA (ENSBIXG00005003650.1)
Source: RNAcentral
GGAAAUUGCCAGACUGUCAUACAACAAUCAGUCUAACCCACCUAAAUUGUUCCACAGAUUAGCCAUCGAUUGUUAGAAAAGUCCCUGACUUCCUUUAUCUUUAUGGCACCAAUACAAAUAUGGUAUCCUGGAGGACACGCCUCCUUUUAACUACGAACCUAUAAAUAUCAAGGCAUUUUUACUGAGAUUGAGAAGAACCCAGCAAAAUGGGGAUCUCCACAGUCAUCCUUCAAAUAUGUCUUUUAUUGGGUCAAAUUCUAUCUACAGUUCCAGCAACAUCAGCAACGAGACACACCACAGAAAGUGCUUUCUGGGAGUUACUCAGCUCUGUUUCUGAGUCAGAUUCUCCCAGAACACAUGGUAAGUAUUUUGAAAAUGGUAUGGUGUAUUUGGUUUAAAGUUUAUCAUUCUAUAUAGCUAUUUAUAUCUGAAGAAUACACACAGCCUCUCUGGAACUUAGUGAAUGGUAUGAGGAUUGGGUAAUAAUGUGAUUUGCGUCCUUCAUGGAAAUACAAAGGCAAUAGAAACUUCUUUCAGCUGCAGGACAAAUGGACUGUGGUUACACAGUUAGUUUUUUCUUUGAUUUUGUUUUGCCUUCACCUCAAACUUCAGUGCACAUCAGAAUCAACUAGGGUAUUUGGUUGAAUGCAGGUCCUUAGAAUUCACCUCCCCACCCCAGACACUUGGAUUUGGGUGGUCUGGGGUGGGACUUGGGAAUCUGAAUUUUUAUGUAACUGAAAAUAAAGAUGGUCUGCAGACCCCA